RNAcentral lists this ribosomal RNA (449 nucleotides) under uncultured bacterium. RNAcentral's name for it is "partial 16S ribosomal RNA". It matches the Rfam family "Bacterial small subunit ribosomal RNA", at positions 29 to 523 of the family's 1533-position model. The record is from RNAcentral.
AACGAACGCUGGCGGCAUGCCUAACACAUGCAAGUCGAACGAGAUCUUCGGGUCUAGUGGCGCACGGGUGCGUAACGCGUGGGAAUCUGCCCUUUGGUUCGGAAUAACAGUUGGAAACGACUGCUAAUACCGGAUGAUGACGAAAGUCCAAAGAUUUAUCGCCAGAGGAUGAGCCCGCGUAGGAUUAGCUAGUUGGUGUGGUAAAGGCGCACCAAGGCGACGAUCCUUAGCUGGUCUGAGAGGAUGAUCAGCCACACUGGGACUGAGACACGGCCCAGACUCCUACGGGGGGCAGCAGUGGGGAAUAUUGGACAAUGGGCGAAAGCCUGAUCCAGCAAUGCCGCGUGAGUGAUGAAGGCCUUAGGGUUGUAAAGCUCCUUUACCCGGGAUGAUAAUGACAGUACCGGGAGAAUAAGCUCCGGCUAACUCCGUGCCAGCAGCCGCGGUAA